Molecule: long non-coding RNA, 320 nt
Filed under: Carica papaya (papaya)
Lineage: Eukaryota; Viridiplantae; Streptophyta; Magnoliopsida; Brassicales; Caricaceae
Description: long non-coding RNA (CPAP_LNC001004)
Source: RNAcentral
UUCACAGAAACUAAUGCGAGUGUGGCCGAAUUCGGCCGAAAACGGCCAACCCGAGGCGAAUCGCCGCCGCAUGCGGCGGCGCCGUCGCCGGAGCACGGCGGAGCCGUCGUGCCGGAGUUGCGAUAUUGGCCGAAAGGGGCCCUGGACCUAAUUUGGGAUUUUUUGGAACACGUGCAGGUACCAGUAGUGCGUUUCAGUUCCCCGGGAAAAAUUCAGGAAAAAUUGGGGACAGCUUGUAGGCGCACUGUGAAGCCGUGUUCGGACCCCUAAACGAGUAAGGACCCCUCACCCUAUUUUCUAUCACGGUAUUAAAGUUCAAU